Molecule: ribosomal RNA, 526 nt
Filed under: uncultured bacterium
Lineage: Bacteria
Description: bacterial SSU rRNA
Rfam family: Bacterial small subunit ribosomal RNA
Source: RNAcentral
CCUUCGGUUCGGAAUAACUCAGGGAAACUUGAGCUAAUACCGGAUACGCCCUUACGGGGAAAGAUUUAUUGCCGAAGGAACGGCCCGCGUCCGAUUAGCUUGUUGGUGAGGUAAUGGCUCACCAAGGCGACGAUCGGUAGCUGGUCUGAGAGGAUGACCAGCCUCACUGGGACUGAGACACGGCCCAGACUCCUACGGGAGGCAGCAGUGGGGAAUAUUGGACAAUGGGCGCAAGCCUGAUCCAGCCAUGCCGCGUGGGUGAUGAAGGCCCUAGGGUUGUAAAGCCCUUUCGGCGGGGAAGAUAAUGACGGUACCCGCAGAAGAAGCCCCGGCUAACUUCGUGCCAGCAGCCGCGGUAAUACGAAGGGGGCUAGCGUUGCUCGGAAUUACUGGGCGUAAAGCGCACGUAGGCGGCUUGUUAAGUCGGGGGUGAAAUCCUGGAGCUCAACUCCAGAACUGCCUUCGAUACUGGCGAGCUCGAGUUCGGGAGAGGUGAGUGGAACUGCGAGUGUAGAGGUGAAAUUCG